This 281-nucleotide unclassified non-coding RNA is filed under the name uncultured fungus. RNAcentral describes it as "partial contains small subunit ribosomal RNA, internal transcribed spacer 1, and 5.8S ribosomal RNA". The stretch from base 1 to 73 matches the Rfam family "Eukaryotic small subunit ribosomal RNA", at positions 1759 to 1831 of the family's 1831-position model. The record is from RNAcentral. Lineage: Eukaryota; Fungi.
GCAAACUUGGUCAUUUAGAGGAAGUAAAAGUCGUAACAAGGUCUCCGUUGGUGAACCAGCGGAGGGAUCAUUACCGAGUUUACAGCUCCCAAACCCCUGUGAACAUACCAUCUCAGUUGCUUCGGCGGGACCGCCCCGGCGCCCUCGGGCCCCGGAUCCAGGCGCCCGCCGGAGGCCCCAAACUCUUGUUUUAUUCUGUGGAUCUUCUGAGUGAUACAAGCAAAUAAAUCAAAACUUUCAACAACGGAUCUCUUGGUUCUGGCAUCGAUGAAGAACGCAGC